This is a long non-coding RNA of Pezoporus occidentalis (night parrot), 1855 nucleotides long. RefSeq lists it as uncharacterized. NCBI's taxonomy places the organism in Eukaryota, Metazoa, Chordata, Aves, Psittaciformes, Psittacidae. The transcript is spliced from 3 exons. The record is from RefSeq and is a predicted model, not a curated record.
AGGAGGCUUCCUGGAGGUGGUGUGGGCUGCAGAGAGCCUGUCCUCUAGCCCUCUCUUUGUGGGUGUUUUGCAGUGUAGGAAAGCCAAGUAUUUCUAAGAAGAAAGUAAAAAUGGAGGAAAUCAGCCACUGUCUGCUUUUCUGGGUGUUCAGGAUUGCUGCCAAACAGACACAAAGACGACCGAAGCAGAAAUGUACCCCGCACUCUGCAGUGGCCACUGCAGUGGUAACUGAAUAAAAUCCACUGAGAGGAAAAGAAAGGCACUUUGGUCAUGGAGCCGAAAUGGAAAAGUAGAUGUGUUUAAAGGACCUUUUUGUGUUGUGGCUCCUCAGACUCCUUCUCCUUCCAUGAGACUACCCAAAAAGCAGAACACCUGCUGAAUGUCAGGUUUCCUUUUGGCUGCAGGAGCACAGCAUCACACAGCAUGGUCAGGUCUCUAACAGACCGGGGGGGGCAGUUUGCUAUUGCUCGUGUUCCAGGCAAGCCAUUUGAUUCUUGUUUGAAAUGCUAUCUCUAAGCUGCUUUUGCUGAAUUGCUUACUUUCAUGAGAGGUUAUAAACAAAAGGCCCGACUUCUGGAAGAGUUUGGCUUCCUUAUAUGAUACUGGUUUCCAAGGGGCAUGUAAAUAAGGGGUCACAUUUUCCAAAGGGAGGACUGCCCUAGCAUCAGUGUUGUGAGAACUCUGCUUUGCAGUUCCAUGGGUGUAUUUAGGGGGAAACAUUACUGUCAGGCUGAGUCAGUGGCCUAAAUUCUCCUUCCUUUAUCCAUACAACCACAUGAAAGCCUGUGCCUCCUAUCCACAGAGUGUGCAUGAAUAAUUUGCUUGGCAUGAGACUGGAGCUUGCUAGCACCGUAACUAUGCCUUUGUAGGCUCCAUAUGUCCCUUGCCUGGGACCUUUUGAAAUGAUAUAAAACUCUGGUACUGUGACCAAAAAGAAAAAAGUCUGGGCAAUGACUUCAGAAGCAACUGGGAGUGACUUGGAGCUCACGAAAGGACUCUUGACUUCAGUGGUGUUGACCCAAGUCCAUGACACUGGAGAGUUACAUCCAGACCUUACGGAGAUCCUAGAAUAACCCCUGUGGUCUGCAAAGAUUGUGUUUUUAAUCACUGCGAAGGAGUCCUGACUUCCAAACACUUCAGAAACACUGGACUCUUUAACUGUAUUUCUUGAAAUAUGCUCAAGAAAUAAGUGUGCACACACAUUGCCUGUCCCUGGCCUCCUCUAUGCACUGAACAUUUUUGGUGUAGGAGAGUUCCAUAACGGAAGCGUAAACCUUGUGUUUACAUCUAUAAACAAGAUAAGGUACAAAUUGCUGCAAUACAAACUUCCUUGCUCUGGCCCUCCACUGACCUCAGCUAUAAAGGACGAGGAUCCUCCUUUCUCACAGUUGCAGGGUCUUUAGGACAAAGUUUCAGCCAGCAAGCAUGCUUGCAAGGUCUUCUAUGUGAAUUUUUCCAACCGCCAUGCUACUCAUACACCAUGGGACUCAUGGCUGUGACAUGGGGAUAAGGCAUCCCCACUUGCAAGUUGCUCCAGACACCACCACCCACAAGGUGAGAUUUCAGUGGAUGCAGAAAGAAAAAGAUCUGCCAAUAAGACGAGCUGGUUUCUAGGCAAAGGAACCUGACUCCCUGGUGGCCUGGACGCAUGGUCUGAAGGAAGGACACAAGCAGAGGGCUGGGGUAUGAGGAAAGUGAAAGGGAUUUCUGCUCUUGACAGCUGUAAUUAUAGCUCCAUGCACUGAGAGAGCUCACAGUCUUUUUUGCUUAAAGCUCACAGCCAUUGGCAACCCUAGUCUGGCUGCAUACACAUGCCAUUGAGACUAGGGAGGGCUGUUUUUAAUCAGAAUUUAUU